This is a long non-coding RNA of Clupea harengus (Atlantic herring), 453 nucleotides long. The record is from Ensembl. Lineage: Eukaryota; Metazoa; Chordata; Actinopteri; Clupeiformes; Clupeidae.
CCUGAGAAAGACAGACGUCAAGCAAGAACAACGAUUCAUCUUUUCAUAUCCAUGACUGGAGACAAGAAUCUGAUAAUCUGAAUCCUGUGAAUCUGAUGCUGAGAUGGCAAGCUAUACCCAGAUUGUGGAUGCAGUGUGGCCAACCGUAUGAUCCAGAUCGAACCUGAUUCGCAAAUCACGAAAACAUCAGACCCCAGUCCUGCCCGUCAGGAAGACAGGUAGUAAGGAACCUCCGCCUUCUGGCUGCACUCGAGAUGCAGCCACCCAGUCCCAGGCGGCGCUGCCGUAUCAAUGUUGCAAUGCCACUGCUGGCAUUGUAUUUUGAUGGCCACAGUGACAUGAGGGUGGACUUCAGGCUCACCCGAGAGUCAUUCAACGCCCUCAUGGCUGUGCUGGGCACUGACUGUGACCACGGUUGGGGCCCAGAGAUCUCCUGUCUAGUUUUUAUUUUUU